This 45-nucleotide non-coding RNA is filed under the name Schistosoma bovis. RNAcentral also lists the same sequence under 1 other name. Lineage: Eukaryota; Metazoa; Platyhelminthes; Trematoda; Strigeidida; Schistosomatidae. The record is from RNAcentral.
AUUCAACUGACGAGUCACAAACAGGAUGAAACACAAGUCCUAAAU